This 427-nucleotide ribosomal RNA is filed under the name uncultured bacterium. RNAcentral describes it as "bacterial SSU rRNA". It matches the Rfam family "Bacterial small subunit ribosomal RNA", at positions 355 to 775 of the family's 1533-position model. The record is from RNAcentral.
UGGGGAAUUUUGCGCAAUGGGCGAAAGCCUGACGCAGCAACGCCGCGUGUGUGAUGAAGGUCUUCGGAUUGUAAAGCACUUUCGACUGGGACGAACACCUGCUGGCCAAUAUCCAGCAGCCUGACGGUACCAGGAGAAGAAGCACCGGCUAACUCUGUGCCAGCAGCCGCGGUAAUACAGAGGGUGCAAGCGUUGUUCGGAAUUAUUGGGCGUAAAGCGCGUGUAGGCGGCUUUGCAAGUCGGGUGUGAAAGCCCUCAGCUUAACUGAGGAAGGGCGCCCGAAACUGCAGAGCUUGAGUACCGGAGAGGAUGGCGGAAUUCCCCAAGUAGAGGUGAAAUUCGUAGAUAUGGGGAGGAACACCGGUGGCGAAGGCGGCCAUCUGGACGGAUACUGACGCUGAGACGCGAAAGCGUGGGUAGCAAACAG